This 464-nucleotide ribosomal RNA is filed under the name uncultured bacterium. RNAcentral's name for it is "partial 16S ribosomal RNA". It matches the Rfam family "Bacterial small subunit ribosomal RNA", at positions 28 to 507 of the family's 1533-position model. The record is from RNAcentral.
GACGAACGCUGGCGGCGUGCUUAACACAUGCAAGUCGAACGGUAAGGCCCCAGCUUGCUGGGGUACACGAGUGGCGAACGGGUGAGUAACACGUGGGUGACCUGCCCCGCACUUCGGGAUAAGCCUGGGAAACUGGGUCUAAUACCGGAUAGGACCGCACCGUGAGGGUGUGGUGGAAAGUUUUUCGGUGUGGGAUGGGCCCGCGGCCUAUCAGCUUGUUGGUGGGGUAAUGGCCUACCAAGGCGGCGACGGGUAGCCGGCCUGAGAGGGUGGACGGCCACAUUGGGACUGAGACACGGCCCAGACUCCUACGGGAGGCAGCAGUGGGGAAUAAUGCACAAUGGGCGGAAGCCUGAUGCAGCGACGCCGCGUGGGGGAUGACGGCCUUCGGGUUGUAAACUCCUUUCACCAUCGACGAAGGUUUUCUGACGGUAGAUGGAGAAGAAGCACCGGCUAACUACGUG